GUCCACGCCGUAAACGAUGGAUGCUAGCCGUCGGCAAGCUUGCUUGUCGGUGGCGCAGCUAACGCAUUAAGCAUCCCGCCUGGGGAGUACGGCCGCAAGGUUAAAACUCAAAGGAAUUGACGGGGGCCCCGCACAAGCGGUGGAGCAUGUGGUUCAAUUCGACGCAACGCGAAGAACCUUACCAAGCCUUGACAUGUCCGGACGGUUUCCAGAAAUGGAUUCCUCCCAGCAAUGGGCCGGAACACAGGUGCUGCAUGGCUGUCGU
This 265-nucleotide ribosomal RNA is filed under the name uncultured bacterium. RNAcentral describes it as "partial 16S ribosomal RNA". It matches the Rfam family "Bacterial small subunit ribosomal RNA", at positions 793 to 1055 of the family's 1533-position model. The record is from RNAcentral.